AUCGGUCUGCAAGGUGUGAAGAAAAGGAGAAGCUUGAAUCUGUAAAUCAAGGAAAAUUUGGGUAUAGUAAGAAGGAAGAUCUGGAAUUACCAUUGUUUUUUAUUUGUCUGCUUAUUCGUCAGAAACCAAACACAAUUAGAUAUCGGGAACAG
Rosa chinensis is the source of this 152-nucleotide long non-coding RNA. RefSeq lists it as uncharacterized. The record is from RefSeq and is a predicted model, not a curated record. Lineage: Eukaryota; Viridiplantae; Streptophyta; Magnoliopsida; Rosales; Rosaceae. The transcript has 3 exons.